GACGAACCGUGCGAACGUUGUUCGGAUUCACUGGGCUUAAAGGGCGCGUAGGCGGGUGGCCAAGUCGGGGGUGAAAUCCUUCAGCUUAACUGAAGAAUAGCCUUCGAUACUGGUCGUCUGGAGGGGGGUAGGGGCGGACGGAACUUCCGGUGGAGCGGUGAAAUGCGUAGAUAUCGGAAGGAACGCCGGCGGCGAAAGCGGUCCGCUGGACCCCCACUGACGCUGAGGCGCGAAAGCCAGGGGAG
RNAcentral lists this ribosomal RNA (245 nucleotides) under uncultured Zavarzinella sp. RNAcentral describes it as "partial 16S ribosomal RNA". It matches the Rfam family "Bacterial small subunit ribosomal RNA", at positions 524 to 768 of the family's 1533-position model. Lineage: Bacteria; Pseudomonadati; Planctomycetota; Planctomycetia; Gemmatales; Gemmataceae. The record is from RNAcentral.